GACCUGGUGGUGGAGUGGUUAUCAUACCUGCUGAAGUUAUGGCUGCAAUACUUACCUGAGUGGGGGAGUCCCUCGUUCGAUCCGGGGUCAGGUCA
Non-coding RNA from Mycena latifolia, 95 nucleotides. The record is from the annotation of a GenBank genome assembly. Lineage: Eukaryota; Fungi; Basidiomycota; Agaricomycetes; Agaricales; Mycenaceae.